GUGGGGAAUAUUGGGCAAUGGGCGCAAGCCUGACCCAGCAACGCCGCGUGAAGGAAGAAGGCUUUCGGGUUGUAAACUUCUUUUACCAGGGACGAAACAAAUGACGGUACCUGGUGAAUAAGCCACGGCUAACUACGUGCCAGCAGCCGCGGUAAUACGUAGGUGGCGAGCGUUAUCCGGAUUUAUUGGGUGUAAAGGGCGUGUAGGCGGGACAGCAAGUCAGAUGUGAAAACCAGAGGCUCAACCUCUGGCCUGCAUUUGAAACUGUUGUUCUUGAGUAUCGGAGAGGUAAUCGUAAUUCCGUGUGUAGCGGUGAAAUGCGUAGAUAUACGCAGGAACACCAGUGGCGAAGGCGGAUUACUGGACGAUAACUGACGCUUAGGCGCGAAAGCGUGGGGAGCAAACAGGAUUAGAAACCCCGAUAGCC
RNAcentral lists this ribosomal RNA (427 nucleotides) under uncultured bacterium. RNAcentral describes it as "partial 16S ribosomal RNA". It matches the Rfam family "Bacterial small subunit ribosomal RNA", at positions 354 to 795 of the family's 1533-position model. The record is from RNAcentral.